Non-coding RNA from Heligmosomoides polygyrus, 75 nucleotides. NCBI's taxonomy places the organism in Eukaryota, Metazoa, Nematoda, Chromadorea, Rhabditida, Heligmosomidae. The record is from Rfam.
GCGCCGGUGGUGUAAUGGCGUAGAGCAUUCCCGCCCGGUUAGAGGGAGGUGCGGGUUCGAGUCCCGCCUGGCGCC